Molecule: RNA transcript, 4030 nt
Organism: Chenopodium quinoa (quinoa)
Lineage: Eukaryota; Viridiplantae; Streptophyta; Magnoliopsida; Caryophyllales; Amaranthaceae
Exons: 5
Source: RefSeq, a predicted model, not a curated record
AAACAAUAAUAAAGUACUGUGAAGUAUCUGACAUUUGCUUCAGGCACUAACAAACAAUCUAACGGCAAGUAACAAACGUCCGUCGGGGUAACUCCCACUCCUAACCACAGUAACUAUCAACCCCAACCACGGUAAUUUUACUUGAGUUAACAAUUUAGUACCUCUAAAAUUACUGGUAAUUGUCUCUGGUAGAGAGAGAAGUACCAAAUCCAUCAAAUCCGAAAACCCAGUGCGAGAGAGAUGAAGUUUCAAGCUUGCUAGAUAUGCGAAGGGGAUGCUUGUAGUUCCAAGCUCGAUAGAUCUGGGAACGGGUUUAAGAUCUGUGAAUCCGUGGUUGUUACAUCUCGCAGAGACGAAGAUGUCUUUGAAUGAAGAAAAUGAUGGAUGUGGUAAUUGCAUGGAAAACUUGAGUGAUGGAAAUUGUGUUAGCUUGGCUGAUGACAUCAAUGACCCAGACAUAGCUACGGUUUCAUUGUCUGGUUGUUCUGACUUUGAUUAUAUGGAUAGAUGUUGGGGAGGGUAUGGGGCUGCAACUGCCUCCAAUCUCCCCAAGUUUAAUCCCCAGGGGGGCACAGGUCUAUUAUUCCCCAAUCCAGACUGUCCGUACUGUGCAGACUGUGGAGACAGUUGUCUCAACAAACAAUGAUGUGCCUUAUGUAGUAGAUCCACCAGCAGAGAGUAUGGUCUUCAAAAGUUGGCUGGAUAUUGAGGCCCACUUUAAACAGUAUGCAGAACAACAUGGUUUUGGAGUUAGUAGGGUUUCAAGUGCGUACAAAGAUAAAACUAGAGAGCGUAGGGCCAUUACUUGGAGGUGUGAAUGCUGGGGUGCCCCUGAUAUGAGGGCGCAAAGGGAGGCAAAGAAGAGGGCGAAGGCCAUGGAUGUUAGUGGAACCGGGGGCAAUGUCAAUGGUGUGAUAGGGCAAGAUGAGCUGAAAAAGGGCCAACGAAAAUAAAAAAAGUGUCACUGUGAAGUAGAAGUUUAUGCUAGUAUUAACGGCAAAGGAGAAUGGGUAAUAAGAUCUGUGCACCUUGAACACAAAGGACAUAAACCCACCCCUAGCAAGGCAAAUCUGGUGAAAGAAUAUCGAAUGAAGAAUUACACUUCAACGGUUCGUAAAAGGCUUUUCAACUUUGUUGAGGAGGGUGUUCCUGUUUCUCGAAUACGUGGGGGUUUAUCCCAUGAAAAGGAUAAAUUGCCUAACGUAAAGGAUUUGCAACACGAGGUGUACAAGGAGAGGAGAUUGAAAAUGGAGGGUGGGGACGCUGUAGCUAUGAUGAGGUAUUUUGAAAAGAUGCAAGCCGACAACCAGAACUUCUUCCAUGCACAUCGUUUGGAUGAAGAAGGCCGGCUCAAGGAUGUGUUGUGGGUAGAUGCAAGGAGCCGGGCUGCUUAUGAUCACUUUGGGCACGUUGUAUGCUUUGAUGCAACGUAUUUGACGAACGAGUACGAGCUCCCAUUUGCAAAUUUUGUCGGCGUCAAUCAUCAUGGACAGUCAAUUCUAUUGGGGUGUGCCCUUGUGUCACAUGAGACUUGUGAGACCUACGCUUGGGUCUUCAAACAAUGGCUAUCGUGCAUGGGCAACCGUCCACCAUUAGGUAUUCUUACUGACCAAGCAGCUUCAAUGAGGAGACCACUGGCUGAUAUUAUGCCUUCAUCUCGACAUAGGUGGUGCAUAUGGCACAUUAUGAGUAAGUUUGGCGACAAGCUUGGCAAAUGCAAGUGGUACAAUGACUUCAAAAGUCCACUAAAGGCUCUCAUUUAUGAAAGCUUUACUGUAGAUGAGUUUGAGCUCCGUUGGUGUGCUUGUAUUAAGCAAUACGAACUUGAAGAAAAUGAAUGGCUUCAGGAUUUGUUCAAUGAGCAUCAUAUGUGGGUUCCAUGCUUUAUGAAAGAGCACUUCUGGGGUGGUAUGAAAACGACCCAAAGGGUGGAGAGCAUCAAUAACUUUUUUGAUGGGUUUGUGAACCGGAAGACCAAGCUUUUUGAGUUUCCCCAGAAAUACACCAGAGCGAUGACUAAACGAGUCGAAGAUGGAACUGAAGCUGAUGCAGAUCAACAAAGUAUGUUAGAAGGUUGGUUAGUUGGUUUAAGGUUGAGAGACUUUAUCAAAAAAUUUACACAGAUGCCAAAUUCCAAGAGAUCCAAAAAGAAUUGUCGAGGAUGAUGUAUUGUUAUGGGAGGGAGGAAAGGGUUGUUGAUGAUAAUACUGUCCAUUACUACCUUGAGGAUCGCGUGUGGGUGGUUCCGGAAGGUCUGAGUGAAGAGGUUAUCACUGACAGAAGGCGCAUAUACUGUGUGAAGUUUAGUUGAGAGUCAAAAGAGGUGAUUUGCGAUUGCUGUAAAUUCGAAACUUUUGGGAUCCUAUGCAAGCAUUGCAUCCGUGUCCUAGACCAAAACCUAGUGUUUGAUAUACCGAAAAAGUAUAUUUUGGACCAGUGGCGCAAGGAUGUUAUAAGAAAGCACACUCGGGUCAAGGUUGCCUAUCACGAUUCGUCCGACACAAAGGAGGUUCAAAGGUUCAACAAGAUAAUGAAUCUGUUCGAACCUAUUUGUAAUGAAGCAUCGAUGGUUGAUGAUGAUACAGUUGAGAUGGUCACGUCUACUCUGUCUAAGCUCAAGAUUGAUGUCAGUGAUCGGAGGAAGAAGUUCAUCGAAGCAAAUGGUGUAAUGACUCUCCCUAGCACACAAUAUCCCACUUCCGGAAAAGGAUCCACGAGUAGCUUGCAAACUCCAUCUUCUGUCAGAAAACAAAUGAUCACAAAUAGUCAUGAGGUUGUGGACUGUGAUGAAGUUCCUGACCAAGUGGUAAGUCAGCACACCCAUGUACCUGAAUUGAGCCAGCACUUACUUGAUCCCAAUGUCAAAAAGAGACGUCGAGGGAGGCCUAAAGGAUCUCGCAACAAACCCUACUCAGAGACAGGCUACAAAUCCACAAAAAAGAAACAGGGAAAGGAUGUGCAGCCUACAUCUGAUGUGCAGCCUGGAGAUGCAGAUACGAAUAUGGAAAUGGACCUACCUCUGAGUGCUAUGCGUGCUAUGAUACCAAAGGUUACCGCUGUGCCGGCUAAGGGAAGGAGGAAAUACAAGAAACAUAGCAGGAAUACUACUGUGAAAUUGGCUACAUGUUUUGAAGAAGAAGAAGAGGUUUUAAUGUAAUUCUGAAUACAACCCAGUUGAAUGGUGAUUAUGUUAUGAUCAGGAUAAUUUGUGUUAUAGAAUCUUUGACAUUAUCCGAACUGUUUGUAUUGUGAUAGCGUCGGGAUGUUUGUUAUGUCGUCGUAUCGUUUAGCUCCUUAUCCUUAAGACUAUUGAACUGUUGUUUAGCUCCUUUUGUCACAUCCAUUAGUUAUUACUUUGUUAGGUGGGAACCUUUUCUGAAGUGUGUUAAGGGUUUGCUUGAAACAACGAGGUAAUGGACGUUGAACCGCCCAAUUCUAGGCUUGUUGCCGUCGUCAAGCUUCAGUAUGGGAGUGGGACUAUUGCUCCGCGCAGGUCGACGGAGAUUUUUCUCCUUAGGAAUAUCAUCAUGGUCUACGAUGACUUCUUCGGGGUUGUGGUUAGCACAACGACUGCCAACUAGGCCAGCAUGCAUCUGCUUCUUGACUUUCACAAUUGUACACCAUGGUACUUGUACAGGAUUGGUGGUAAUGGGUUAUGGAGGGCUUCAAAAGCAUUGUUGCUCAAGGUUGUCCUUAAGAGACGGUUGGCUUUCUUCCCACCCUUUUUUGUUAGGUGCAUGCGAGCCGUUGGAUGAUGAUCCAUUGGAUGAGGAUACUUUGGAUUUGUUGGAUAACAAGGAUGGAUUAAGGGAAGGCUUCAUUUUUGUGAAGAUAAUAGUACUUUGAUUGUGUUAGUUGUGAUUUUUUUCUGUUCCAACAAAGCCCUUUUUAUAACAAGAGUCCUAUUAGGGUUUACACCCUUUAUUUUUACUGUGGUAGAGAAGGGGUAAAUAAUCGUACAAGGUCUGUCCAUAUCUACAUUGCAAUGCUGGUCAAUAUUUGAUUAUGAACUUUGCUUCACGGUUUUACA